GUGCACGCUGGCGGUAGGCCUCACACCUGCCAGUCGAACGGCAGCACAGUAAGAGCUUGCUCUUACGGGUGGCGAGUGGCGGACGGGUGAGGAAUACAUCGGAAUCUACUUUUUCGUGGGGGAUAACGUAGGGAAACUUACGCUAAUACCGCAUACGACCUACGGGUGAAAGCAGGGGAUCUUCGGACCUUGCGCGAUUGAAUGAGCCGAUGUCGGAUUAGCUAGUUGGCGGGGUAAAGGCCCACCAAGGCGACGAUCCGUAGCUGGUCUGAGAGGAUGAUUAGCCACACUGGAACUGAGACACGGUCCAGACUCCUACGGGAGGCAGCAGUGGGGAAUAUUGGACAAUGGGCGCAAGCCUGAUCCAGCCAUACCGCGUGGGUGAAGAAGGCCUUCGGGUUGUAAAGCCCUUUUGUUGGGAAAGAAAAGCAGCAGGUUAAUACCCCGCUGUUCUGACGGUACCCAAAGAAUAAGCACCGGCUAACUUCGUG
Molecule: ribosomal RNA, 491 nt
Filed under: uncultured bacterium
Lineage: Bacteria
Description: partial 16S ribosomal RNA
Rfam family: Bacterial small subunit ribosomal RNA
Source: RNAcentral